Molecule: ribosomal RNA, 536 nt
Filed under: uncultured bacterium
Lineage: Bacteria
Description: bacterial SSU rRNA
Rfam family: Bacterial small subunit ribosomal RNA
Source: RNAcentral
ACGUAAUAGAUACCCCGGUAGUCCACGCCCUAAACGAUGUCUACUAGUUGUUGGUGGAGUAAAAUCCAUGAGUAAACGCAGCUAAACGCGUGAAGUAGACCGCCUGGGGAGUACGGUCGCAAGAUUAAAACUCAAAGGAAUUGACGGGGGCCCGCGCAAGCGGUGGAUUAUGUGGAUUAAUUCGAUGCAACGCGAAAAACCUUACCUGGCCUUGACAUGCCACUAACGAAGCAGAGAUGCAUUAGGUGCCCGUAAGGGAAAGUGGACACAGGUGCUGCAUGGCUGUCGUCAGCUCGUGUCGUGAGAUGUUGGGUUAAGUCCCGCAACGAGCGCAACCCUUGCCAUUAAUUGCCAUCAUUUAGUUGGGCACUUUAAUGGGACUGCCGGUGACAAACCGGAGGAAGGUGGGGAUGACGUCAAGUCCUCAUGGCCCUUAUGGCCAGGGCUUCACACGUAAUACAAUGGUCGGUACAGAGAGUUGCCAACCCGCGAGGGGGAGCUAAUCUCAGAAAGCCGAUCGUAGUCCGGAUUGUUCU